Mya arenaria is the source of this 1380-nucleotide long non-coding RNA. RefSeq lists it as uncharacterized. The record is from RefSeq and is a predicted model, not a curated record. Lineage: Eukaryota; Metazoa; Mollusca; Bivalvia; Myida; Myidae. The transcript has 2 exons.
GAUGGUGCAGGCGAAAGCGGCCUGUUUUGUGUGGUGUCGUUGCUUCUCAACAACAUGGCCGUGGAACAUGAAGCCAGUGUCCUCAACGCUGUAAGGAAAAUUAAAACCACACGGCGGCUAGCGAUCCCUAAUCAGGAACAAUUUGUGUUCUGCCAUGGCUGCGUAUCGGAGUAUCUUCGUUUGUUCGAAGUGUACGCCAACUUUCAUGAAGAAACUUGAAAAUUUUAACUUGUUGUCCAAACGGCUGAUGAAUGUAAAACUGGAGAUAAAUUUGAAUACAAACAAUGCAUAUAAGUACGUUGUGCAUACCAUUAUACAAGUAUCUACUAGUAUGCAAUUAUUUGCAAGAUGUCAAAUGUAAAUAAAAUUGAAUUUAAUCCAAUAUUGUACAUGUAUUAAUGAAAUCGGAAUGGAUUUUUUUAUCAACAAUAUUUAUUCUCUGACGUUUAAAACAGCCUGUAUGUAGGUGUAUGAUGUGUAUCUUUGUAAGUGUGUUUUAUGUGGCAACAUAAACAGAUAAUUCCUAAGACAGAAACUUUGUAAGAAUAUUCAGUGAUAUUUUAUCUUCAUAAUGUUGUUUUCCUACUGUACUCUAUUUCCUAUUACACAAUCGAGUGCUGAUGGCGUUCUUUAUUAUAUAAACAGAAUGUAAGCAGUAAACUGUGGACAUUUACAUAGCAUAUAGCUUAAAUGCAGCUGUUGAUAGCUGUCAUCAACAUAAACCUUCUAUUACGUAUGUGUCUAUAUACAUAUUUUGACAUAAAAUUAAGAGUAAAUAUUAAAUACAAAUAUGUCAUAACAAAUUGGUAUUAUUUAGAUAUAUCCUUGCACAGUUCAUGAACAUGUCAAUUUUACAUAUGCCGACUGCAGAAUUGUUCUUUUAGAUUUAUACAUUGUCAUGUUUUCAUAUCUAUAGUGUGCAUUCUUUAUCUCAAAUUGCGAAUGGAAUUUCACCAAUAGUCUGAGUUUUAAUUCAUAAAUUAAAUUAUAUUGUUGUAUAUAUACAUGCACAUUGUUUCUUCUAAUAUCUCCUUAGAUUAUAGAGUUAAUGAUAUAAACUUGUUUUGUAAUGUUUUAUACACAAUCGGGUCAUCUCGUCAAUGAGCUUACGUUCAAAUUUCUUAAAAUCAUAACUUUCAGUAAGACGUUUAGAAAAGAAUAAUCGAGUUGAAAAUCUUUAAUUAACAUUGUUAAAAGGAUUACAUUUUUUUGGACAAUAAUUCGUCGUUAUUCUUAUUGCACAGAAAGGACGAUGGAGUUGGUAUGUUUUGUACAGCCAUCAGUUAAUGGUAAUAAAUUAUAAAUGUUGACAAUAAAUUUUGUACAUAUAUUUUAUCUUAUUCCAUGACUGAAUAAAAUACUCAGUUUACAGAUACUCGA